UACGUAGGGCGCAAGCGUUGUCCGGAAUUAUUGGGCGUAAAGAGCUCGUAGGCGGUUUGUCGCGUCUGCUGUGAAAACCUAAGGCUCAACCUUGGGCUUGCAGUGGGUACGGGCAGACUAGAGUGCGGUAGGGGUGACUGGAAUUCCUGGUGUAGCGGUGGAAUGCGCAGAUAUCAGGAGGAACACCGAUGGCGAAGGCAGGUCACUGGGCCGCAACUGAACGCU
RNAcentral lists this ribosomal RNA (225 nucleotides) under uncultured bacterium. Its description in RNAcentral is "partial 16S ribosomal RNA". It matches the Rfam family "Bacterial small subunit ribosomal RNA", at positions 524 to 747 of the family's 1533-position model. The record is from RNAcentral.